UGAAAUGACCUAAAUAAAGAGUCUGCUAAAAUUCGAAAAGCUCAAAAAACAAAUUAAACGAAGCCCAAAACAAACUUAUAUAAGAGACCAACCCAAACUCUAGUACUUAAUAUCCCCCACUUACAUUACACUAAUUACAAUUAAUCAGCCUAAUAAAUAUACAUUACAAACUAGUAAAGUACAACAUAUUAUACAGGAAAAUAUAAAAGGGAUUUUCUCCCCAUUUCUUCCGCCGCCUCAGCCAAACCCUAGCGCAAAAUCGCGCCGCUCCAGCACCUCCGCCAACAAAACUUCGCCGCCGACGGCGAAGCUGACCACACCGCACCACAAAUCAGCGACAACUUCAUCUACUCACUGGUAGUUUAUACUCCAUGUAAACUCAUGGCUGUUUAACACCACCCGACAAACGAAAACCCUAAAUCUCCCCCAAACACCGACGAAAUUGGUGAGCAUCAUCGACGACGGUGUAUUUACCCUAACCCAGUCCAAAACCACGGAAGGUAGCCCUAGAUCUCGACACCUCCACCAAGUAAAACAGAGAAAAAAGCACCAUCUACGUCGGACGAUAUUUCUUCCAUCACCAGAGAAAGCUUCAAAAUUGUGAAAGAGAUGAACAAAGCUUCCAAAUUCGUUCCAACACAGUCCAAGCAGGAACAGAACAUGGGCUCGUCCGAGUAAAGCUCGGGCUCCGGGAAUGAUAUCAAUUUACGAAAAGUAUUGCAGCAUAUGAUCUACACGUAUGGCAAGUCAAAAUUUGAAGAGAAAGAACCAAGAUAGCAUAGCAAAGGAGAUGAUCUAAAAAAUAGAAAUCAUGAAGGAGCAAAGACAGGAACAAAAAUGAGAUAGCAAUAGAAGCAAUACACAUAUUAAAGGUAUGAAAAUUGCAUUCAUUAUAUAUGAGCUAACAUAGAUAAUAUAAAACUAAUACAGAAAUAGGAACAUCAGAUAUUUACAGGAGGUAAAUGAGUUUAUAUAACAUUUACAAAUAGCGAAAGUCAGAAAAAUAUGCAUAUAGAAGAACAGUGAGUGAAGAAGAAUGGAGUGGAGAAUGUAUGAAGAAACUGAAGUAGAUCUUUGUUGCUAAUAAUGUUUGAGUGAUUUCUGUUGCAAAGAGCUUGCUUAGUGAUUAAGAAGGGGGGUUAGCGCCGGGGUAUUUAUAGGACACAAAUGCAGUGUAAGCUGGUUAAAAAAAAGUGCAAGUUCCCAAAAAAAACACAGUCAUGAGAAAGGCAUUCCAUAUAAUAAAUCAAAAUAUUGUACUAUCAGUUAAUAAUCUUCACUUAAUGGGCUUUAAAAAUAGUCUGUAAAAUAUUAAUAGGAUUUAACAGACAAUAUUAAUAGGAUUCAGGUUCAAUAUUUCGAUUGUAUUUAAACUGUCAUAUACUAAUAACUCCAUUCUUUAUGGGGAAUAUUACCGUAUUUAAUAGUGUUUCUCUUUUUGUUUACAGAAAAAACAUUUCAGAAAAUAUUAGUAUAUUUAAUAAGGUCUCUCACUAUUUGCAUACAGAAAUUAAUCUCUCAUUAUUUCGAGAUUAUGUAUUCCAAAAGUUUUAUAUUUAUGACUCCUAAUAUGCUGAUUAAUUUAUUACAGCAUCUCAUUGGAAACAGACAAAUGGAUCUGUGACAGUUUUCCCUCUCCUUUUCAUAAAUAAUUUUCGGAUUUAUAUAUAAGAAAUGUUUAAAAUAUGAAUACUACUAACAUACUCCCUCCGUCCCAGACUACUUGCACUUAUUUCCUUUCUGGACGUCCCAAGUUAUUUGCACUCUUUCCAUUUUUAGUAAAAAUUAUCACCUUCAGCCGCAAUUGUUGACUUUGCUAUACACUCAUUCCUUAAUCUCUGUGCCAAAAAUAAAAUGUGCGAGUAGUCCGAGACGGAUGGAGUAUUAAAUAUUUUUUCAGGGACAGUGCAUUGGAAAUAGAAAGUGAGCUGUCACAGCAUGGAAGAACGGAACAUAUAUAUGUAAUAGAAUAGUGUUUCAUGCAUGCACUCUACAUCUCUAACUCAAAUAGGCUUGCAGCCUACUUAUAAUUUGGAUACGCAACAAACAAAUUAGGCCAUAAACAUUACUUUGAACCAUUUGAAUUUAAAAUAAUAGUAAUGCAGGAUUUUCAACAUUUGUAAAAGAAAAAAAAAUUAAUUACACACUCAUCUCUCAUUUUCCCGCCCAAAAAGGUGUUAC
Long non-coding RNA from Salvia splendens (bonfire salvia), 2181 nucleotides. RefSeq lists it as uncharacterized. The record is from RefSeq and is a predicted model, not a curated record. The transcript is spliced from 5 exons. NCBI's taxonomy places the organism in Eukaryota, Viridiplantae, Streptophyta, Magnoliopsida, Lamiales, Lamiaceae.